RNAcentral lists this ribosomal RNA (1047 nucleotides) under Escherichia coli. RNAcentral describes it as "partial 23S ribosomal RNA". It matches the Rfam family "Bacterial large subunit ribosomal RNA", at positions 344 to 1393 of the family's 2925-position model. Lineage: Bacteria; Pseudomonadati; Pseudomonadota; Gammaproteobacteria; Enterobacterales; Enterobacteriaceae. RNAcentral also lists the same sequence under 1 other name. The record is from RNAcentral.
GGAAAGGCGCGCGAUACAGGGUGACAGCCCCGUACACAAAAAUGCACAUGCUGUGAGCUCGAUGAGUAGGGCGGGACACGUGGUAUCCUGUCUGAAUAUGGGGGGACCAUCCUCCAAGGCUAAAUACUCCUGACUGACCGAUAGUGAACCAGUACCGUGAGGGAAAGGCGAAAAGAACCCCGGCGAGGGGAGUGAAAAAGAACCUGAAACCGUGUACGUACAAGCAGUGGGAGCACGCUUAGGCGUGUGACUGCGUACCUUUUGUAUAAUGGGUCAGCGACUUAUAUUCUGUAGCAAGGUUAACCGAAUAGGGGAGCCGAAGGGAAACCGAGUCUUAACUGGGCGUUAAGUUGCAGGGUAUAGACCCGAAACCCGGUGAUCUAGCCAUGGGCAGGUUGAAGGUUGGGUAACACUAACUGGAGGACCGAACCGACUAAUGUUGAAAAAUUAGCGGAUGACUUGUGGCUGGGGGUGAAAGGCCAAUCAAACCGGGAGAUAGCUGGUUCUCCCCGAAAGCUAUUUAGGUAGCGCCUCGUGAAUUCAUCUCCGGGGGUAGAGCACUGUUUCGGCAAGGGGGUCAUCCCGACUUACCAACCCGAUGCAAACUGCGAAUACCGGAGAAUGUUAUCACGGGAGACACACGGCGGGUGCUAACGUCCGUCGUGAAGAGGGAAACAACCCAGACCGCCAGCUAAGGUCCCAAAGUCAUGGUUAAGUGGGAAACGAUGUGGGAAGGCCCAGACAGCCAGGAUGUUGGCUUAGAAGCAGCCAUCAUUUAAAGAAAGCGUAAUAGCUCACUGGUCGAGUCGGCCUGCGCGGAAGAUGUAACGGGGCUAAACCAUGCACCGAAGCUGCGGCAGCGACGCUGAUGCGUUGUUGGGUAGGGGAGCGUUCUGUAAGCCUGCGAAGGUGUGCUGUGAGGCAUGCUGGAGGUAUCAGAAGUGCGAAUGCUGACAUAAGUAACGAUAAAGCGGGUGAAAAGCCCGCUCGCCGGAAGACCAAGGGUUCCUGUCCAACGUUAAUCGGGGCAGGGUGAGUCGACCCCUA